UACGUAGGGGGCAAGCGUUGUCCGGAAUCAUUGGGCGUAAAGAGCGUGUAGGCGGCCAGAAAAGUCCGCUGUGAAAACUCGAGGCUCAACUUCGAGCUGUCGGUGGAAACUUUCUGGCUAGAGUCCGGAAGAGGAGAAUGGAAUUCCUGGUGUAGCGGUGAAAUGCGCAGAUAUCAGGAAGAACACCGGUGGCGAAGGCGGCUACCUGGACCGGCACUGACGCUGAGGCGCGAAAGCGUGGGGAGCAAACAGG
Molecule: ribosomal RNA, 253 nt
Filed under: uncultured bacterium
Lineage: Bacteria
Description: partial 16S ribosomal RNA
Rfam family: Bacterial small subunit ribosomal RNA
Source: RNAcentral